AUGACUCUUGGCAGUGGAUCACUCGGCUCGUGCAUCGAUGAAGAACGCAGCCAGCUGCGAGAAGUAAUGUGAAUUGCAGGACACAUUGAUCAUCGAUACUUUGAAUGCACAUUGCGGCCCCGGGAGUUCCUUCCCGGGGCCACGCCUGUCUGAGGGUCGCCCGUUUAUCAAUCGUCCUCCUGCCCAAAGGUGGGUGGUGUGCUACUGGGGUGUCGCAGCGUAUCUUGUGCGCUUCGUUCCCCGAAGGGGAGAGACAGCGCACUGAUGCACAGCGGCGGGUGGUUGCCGCACCUACCACGCUUGACGGUGGGCAGCAGGAGAGACGCGAACGAAGCCGGUGGGUGCGUCUGUUGCCCCUUGCGCGUGCUAGAGAUGUUGUUUGUGCGUCUGCGCCGAGCCCCGUGGUGCUCGCGUGUGGGAUCCGCCUGCGCCUUGGAGCGGGUGACGCACCGCCGGCCCGCCUCGCCUGCUGCGUCGGGGAGGUGGAGCGAAAGCGUACCUGUUGGGACCCGAAAGAUGGUGAACUAUGCCUGGGCAGGGCGAGGCCAGAGGAAACUCUGUGGUUCUGACGUGCAAAUCGAUUGUCCGACCUGGGAAUAGGGGCGAAAGACUAAUCGAACCAUCUAGUAGCUGGUUCCCUCCGAAGUUUAUCUCAGGAUAGCUGGCGCUCGGCAGGAGCAGUUUUAUCCGGUAAAGCGAAUGAUUAGAGGUCUUGGGGCCGAAACGAUCUCAACCUAUUCUUAAACUUUAAAUGGGUAAGACGCCCGUCUUGCUGGCUUGGAGCCGGGCAUGGAAUGCGAGUGCCCAGUGGGCCACUUUUGGUAAGCAGAACUGGCGCUACGGGAUGAACCGAGCGCUGGGUUAAGGCGCCCCACGACGAUGCUCAUCAGACCCCAGAAAAGGUGUUGGUCGAUAUAGACAGCAGGGCGGUGGCCAUGGAAGUCGGAAUCCACUCAGGAGUGUGUAACAACUCACCUGCCGAAUCAACUAGCCCUGAAAAUGGAUGGCGCUGGAGCGUCGGGCCCAUACCCGGCCGUCGCUGGCUGUGAGAGCGCAGGGAGUGCUAUGCCGCGACGAGUAGGAGGGCCACUGCGGUGAGCGCGGAAGCCUCGGGCGAGGGCCCGGGUAGAGCCGCUGCAGGUGCAGAUCUUGGUGGUAGUAGCAAAUAUUAAAAUGAGAACUUUGAAGGCCGAAGUGGAGAAGGGUUCUAUAUGAACAGCACUUGGACAUGGGUCAGUCGGUCCUAAGGGAUGGGCGAACGCCGUUCCGAAGGGACGGGCGAUGGCCUCCGUUGCCCUCAGCCGAUCGAAAGGGGAUCGGGUCCAGAUCCCCGAACCCUCAGAGUGGAGACGGACGCGACCCCUCGCGGGGGGCGCCCGGUGCGGUAACGCAAACGAGCCCGGAGAUGCCGGCGGGGACCCUGGGGAGAGUUCUUUUUCCUUGGUGAAGGGCAGGGUGCCCUGGAAUGGGUUCGCCCCGAGAUAGGGGCCUGUGCCCUGCAGAGCGCCGCGGCUCCUGCGGCGUCCGGUGAGCCCUCGUUGGCCCUUGAAAAUCCGGGGGAGAGAGCUCUGAAUCUCGCUUUGGGCCGUACCCAUAUCCGCAGCAGGUCUCCAAGGUGAACAGCCUCUGGCAUGUUGGAGCAAUGUAGGUAAGGGAAGUUGGCAAGCCGGAUCCGUAACUUCGGGACAAGGAUUGGCUCUAAGGGCUGGGUCGGUUGGGCUGGGGCGCGAAGCGGGGUCUGGGUGCAUGCCACGGCUGGGCGAGGCUCCCGCCGUCGUCUCGGGCGGCUGGGGGACGACUUUGGACGUGUGCCGGGCCCUUCCUGCGGAGCGCCUCAGCUGCGGCGGUUCGUUGGGCUGCGGCCGUGCGGCCCCGGUGGCCCUCCCCGGGGUGCCAGGACCCUGCGCGGUAUUGGGCUGACGCAUCGCCUCGGCCGGCGUCUAGCAGCCGGCUUAGAACUGGUGCGGACCAGGGGAAUCUGACUGUUUAAUUUAAACAAAGCAUCGUGAUGGCUCGCGAAUGGGUGUUGACACGAUGUGAUUUCUGCCCAGUACUCUGAAUGUCAAAGUGAAGAAAUUCAAUGAAGCGCGGGUAAACGGCGGGAGUAAGUAUGACUCUCUUAACAACCCCGUGUGCUAUAAACGUUAGUCGCGAAUUAUAAAGAAAACAAACCGGACGGGCUACUCGGUGAUGAACUAACAUCGCUCAUGAAUGAGCGAUUAAUAGGCGAGCUGACUACGGAAUUUAUCCUUUCAGACAUGUUUUUAUGGGACUACCCAUGCACAGAUCAGAACAAAUGUUAUCCGUGCAAUCUAAUUUUCCUAGACCACAGAACUUGAUCAUCACAUAUGUCACGGGUAAAUCCACAUGUCGAAUUUGUAAUCGCACAGCAGAUAGCAUACACAAGAUAGCGUCACACUACGGAAGAACUUUCAAAAGUUUAAUAGGUACAACUAAUACUAUAACCAGCACAAUUGAUGAAACACUAUUUAGUUGUUUACAUUGCAACAGAGGUUUUACCACGAAAACAGGUUUAGGGGUACAUACCAGACGAACUCAUCCGACAGAACAUGAGGCUAUACUACAGCAAAACCCACCAGGAAGGAAAGUUAGAUGGGGAAAAGAAGAGGUUGAAAUUAUGGCCCAUAAGGAAGCCCAGCAGAAGGAUGAGGACAUAAACAUGAAUCAACUAAUACAAAACUCAGUUAUGCCACACAGAACACUAGAAGCGAUUAAAGGGAAGCGGAGAAAUAUCGAGUAUAGGCAAUUGGUAAGGACAUU
This 2781-nucleotide ribosomal RNA is filed under the name Petromyzon marinus (sea lamprey). RNAcentral's name for it is "eukaryotic LSU rRNA". The stretch from base 297 to 2781 matches the Rfam family "Eukaryotic large subunit ribosomal RNA". The record is from RNAcentral. Lineage: Eukaryota; Metazoa; Chordata; Hyperoartia; Petromyzontiformes; Petromyzontidae.